GACCGGCUAACUACGUGCCAGCAGCCGCGGUCAUACGUAGGGUCCAAGCAUUAUCCGGAUUGACUGGGUGUAAAGAGUUGCGUAGGUGGCAGGGUAAGUAGAUAGUGAAAUCUGGUGGCUCAACCAUUCAGACUAUUAUCUAAACUGCUCCGCUCGAGAGCGUUAGGGGUAGCUGGAAUUUCUAGUGUAGGAGUGAAAUCCGUAGAUAUUAGAAAGAACACCGAUAGCGUAGGCAGGCUACUGGGACGUUUCUGACACUAAGGCACGAAAGCGUGGGGAGCAAACGGGAUUAGAUACCCCGGUAGUCCACGCUGUAAACGAUGGAUACUAGCAGUUCCCGGUAUCGACCCCGGAAGUUGCGAAGCUAACGCGUUAAGUAUCCCACCUGUGUAGUACGAUCGCAAGAUUAAAACAUAAAGGAAUUGACGGGGACCCGCACAAGCGGUGGAGCGUGAUCUUUAAUUCGAUGGUAAACGAUAAACCUUACCAAGGCUUGACAUCUCGGGAAGGCUUCCGAAAGGAAUCUGUGCCCUCGGGAACCCGAAGACAGGUGAUGCAUGGCCGUCGUCAGCUCGUGUCGUGAGAUGUUUGGUUAAGUCCAUCAACGAGCGCAACCCUUGCAACCAGUUGGAUUUUUCUGGUAGGACUGCCCCGGUAACGGGGAGGAAGGAGGGGAUGAUGUCAGGUCAGUAUUUCCCUUACGCCUUGGGCUAGAAUCGCGCUACAAUGGCUGGUACAAUGCGAAGCGAAGCAGUGAUGUGAAGCAAAUCGCACCAAAGCCAGUCCCAGUUCGGAUAGAAGGCUGAAACUCGCCUUCUUGAAGUCGGAAUCGCUAGUAAUCGCAGAUCAGCAUGUUGCGGUGAAUACGUUCCCGGGUCUUGCACACACCGCCCG
RNAcentral lists this ribosomal RNA (894 nucleotides) under uncultured bacterium. Its description in RNAcentral is "bacterial SSU rRNA". It matches the Rfam family "Bacterial small subunit ribosomal RNA", at positions 491 to 1396 of the family's 1533-position model. The record is from RNAcentral.